AUCUUUACACUGCUCCGACUACAGUCCAAAUUCUAAGAUUUAAACUCUCAUUUAGGGACUAAGUGUCCCAAAACACUACAAAACUCAAAGUGAACCCUCCCGGCAAAUUAUAUUAGCAGAAAAAGAUACGAGGGAAGCAGUUAAUACGGGAUCGGGGCAUAAAUUCUCAAAACGGUCGGCCGGGUCGUUAUAUCAUUACAAAAUUAUGGAUUUACUUUAUCUUACCUUCUCCAAAAUAAAAAAAUAAAAAAGAAGCAAUAACUAAACAAUCAGAUAACAUUAUUGAAUUGAUACUGUAAUAAUUGGAUUUUGAGAGACUCAAUACAAUGACUUUAAUGCGUAAAUAAAAGUUUACGAAAGUUUAAACUUUUGAUGUAAAAGGACGCCCACAACUAUGAUAGUGAGUCGACUAGCUUCCAGCAGGUAGAAAAUUAAUCUUUUUUCUUUCUGUUUCCACCAAUUUCUAAGUUGUCAAUUUUAGGAUGUGUCGGUUAUGUUUUCCAGGUAUUUAGUUCACAAGAGCAACAUCUACACUCAAUGUGAUAUCUGAAAACAUUGACAAGAAGCUAUAUUAUUUUGGCAGCCAGAUAUGUGCUAUCAAUUGUAACUUUCACUUUGCAAUGGUUAUAGAUUUGUUGGUGAGGUAAAAUAGUCUUUCUUAUUGUUAGUUGUACUGCAUUUUUUAAGCAAUGAAAAGUUUUUUCCUAUGAUACUUCUUAAAUUUGCAGCUACAAGAUGUGCGAGUAUCUUUUUUUGAGAAAUCUGUUGAGCAGUAAGUAGUAUCCCUUUACUGAGGAUCCUUCAUUGUGGAGCUUGUACAACUUCUUGAUAGAUGCUUCUUAUUUUUAGCAUGAUAAAUUUCAAAUAAUGUCCUUUAUCAUAGUAAGGAGUCUUCUAUCUGAAGGUUUUCUGGUUGUUCCUUUUACCAAUUAAAGAAAUCUACCGAGGGUGAGUCCUCUGAGUUAUAUGCAUUAACAUUGUAAUUGGAGUCAGCACUUUUUAUUAUUUGUAAUAUGAAAUAGCACCUCCAAGAGAGGCAUGUUUUCUAAGUUUACUGCUAAAUCUUUUACAUUACUCUAUUCCUCUUAACAAAUAAUUUUGAUGCUAAUACUUAAACAUACAGUACAUAAAAGGUACCAUCGUGCAGCUCAUGAACUUAAUGAAGUUAUGUCUUCACAAGCAGAAGCUUUUUGGUUAACUAUAAAUAGUACCAUUUGGUAUAUUUUUCAAGUACAGAUUAUUCAGUAGAGGAAGGAGAGCUCAUAUUUCUCAAGGAUAUAUAGUGAUCUUGAAUGAUAACAAAGAAAUCAUGUAAAAUCCCCGGCUCUGCUGAUUGUGAGAUGGUAACUUCUCCUAUUUUGUUCUUCUUUAUCAAUCAUGUGAUUUGUAUUAAUCAUUUCGUUGUUCUUGAAGUUGGGAUCGCUCUCAAAUGGUUCUUUAACUUGCAAGAGUUGCUCCUCCUAUGAUGCAGCAUAGCUAGGAGUUGAAUUCUUCUUUCUAUCUAAGGAAGAAUACUCUUUGAGUCCCAUAAUUUUCUGCUUUGUUUUGACAUGCAUUUUUCUUUGCAAGUGAGGAAUAAUUGGCCAAUAUGAUCUGCUUAAUGUCCUGGGAAAACAAAAGAAGGAAGGUUUGUUUGCAUGUAAUUUUCUCUGUCACUCCACUAUAACAUUGAUUGAGUAUUUAGCUUGAUUAUUUUUUUUUACGUAUGCGACUCAUUUUUCUGCAUUAUGGUGUUUUCUCCUUAGAUAAUUAGUUUACCUGUGUUCAUGGAGUUUCCCCUAUUGUGUUUUGUAUUAUUUAGAUAAUAGCAUAGGAAGCCAGUCAAAAUCUAUGCAGCCGGUGUGCUUGUGAACUACAUUUCUCUUCCUCUGGUUAGAGCAGUAAGGUUUCGACUCUCUCUGAUGAUGACCUUUGUUAUUGGAGUCACCGCAAAAGUAAAAUGUUCCUUCUUUCUAGGAGCUUCCAUAUGAUCGACUUAUAAAAGAGUCUAGAGCGCCAUAACAGUGCGUGAAAAAAUCUUCUCAUACAUGAGCACAUGUGUGCGAUGAGUAUUAGCUCUUACACUUGAAUCAUUGUGUUAUGAGUAGAGAGAUCAUUGUUCUUUCAACUACCAGAAAUGCACCGACUAACACAUAUUUUCAGGAAUUUCUUUCUAUUAAUGUUCAAGGGGUAGGCAGUCACUAAUACUUGCAUUAGGAUAGACUGUCUACAUCACACCCCUUGGAGUGCAGCCUUUUGUCGGACCCUGCGUGAAUGCGAGAUUCUAUGUGCACCAGGCUAGCCUUUUUUUUAAGGGGUAAUGUAUUUAGCCUUAUGGAUAGAAGUUCAAUUGGAAUCUUUUAGAUGGUUUUUGUUGUCUUAUAGGUUAUUUGUGGCUACUUUUUCAUUUUGCUUCCAUUCUUCUCUUUCUUUUUUCUGUUUUGUAUGAUGGUUUUGUGUACUUUCACACCACAUUAAUUUAUUCCAUUAAAAAAUAAAUAAGACUUCAGUUGUCCCCAUCCCCCUCCCCCUCCCUCGGAUAGAAGCUUUCGAUUUGAUAUACGUUAGUAAAGUUUAUCCUCCUACAUCUUUUUUGGUUCAUAGUCGGUUUUUUAUUUUACAGAUUUCUCUCUAUGUCCGUAAUUGCUUCGUUUGUGUUUCUAUUACUCUUAUGUAUGCAAUUCACUCCCGACAUUUAACUUGUGAAAUAUACUCAGCUAUCCGAGGACCAAUUUCCUCCAAAUGCAUUACUUCUCGAAUCCCUACCCAGCUUAAGGCGUUGAAGGGCUGCCUACUUGACAUUUACUGAUUUUAGUUCUAAUGCAUGUUCCUAUGCGCAUGCAUAUAUAUAGUUGGAUGUUCAUAUUACAUAUGAAUACACGUGUCUUUGGAUAUUUUGUACAUAGAAGUGGUGGAUUAAGUGAUUGGACAAUUGCAAAUGUGAUUGCAACUAGAUUAUGUAACGACCCGACCAGUCGUUUUGAGAUUUUGCACUUCGCUCGCAAGUUCUCGGGCAUGACUAGCCCCGUGUGAUGUAUUAUGACUUAUGUAAAUUGUUGGUUUUGGUUUUCAGGAUAGUCGGAAUAGAUUUGGAAAAACAAUUUUCAGUUUGAAGCUUAAAAUUUGAAAGGCCAGCUUAUUGUGGACGCUAAUAAUUAAGGUUUUAUUAAUUUUGGCACUGCCUGCACGUGGUUUAACUAUUCUACAAAGGAAACUAUCUAUGGGCAGAUUGUAAUCUUCAAGAAAGACUUCUUAGUCCUAUGGAUAAAGCUCUUUGUUUUAGCCUAAUGAAACUGUUUAAGGUGAGGAUCCAAGGCUUAUGAGUACAGAAUCCGAUGGUAUUUUUAAUUAGAACAAACUAUAUUUUUCUAAUUAUUCAACCAAAUGAAAUUGGUUGACUAAUUGAAAAAUGAGAUUAUUCAAGCAUUCAAUGUUGAGAUUAUGCACUGGUAGUAGAUCCAUUAUUAAAAAAGUACUUGUGAUUGUUCCAGAAGAAAUUAAACAACUGAUAUAGUAGAGCUAGAACAAUUAUUUAUGCAAGGUCUCCCCAAUACUAGAUGCAUUUGCAGGAAAGAUUAAAGCUAGAAUUACUGCAUAAUAAUGAGAAACCUUGUCAUAUCAAAACCGAAAACUGUGUAAAAUUGCAGUUUCCACAGUUGUCCUUUGAACGCAAGGAGAUGUAAUUUUGGUUAUUGUUCUAAAUUACUACUACCAAGUGUCUUUGUAGUCUUCUUUUCCAUUUUCUUAGGCUGAUCUCUUUAGAAGUAUGCAAUGAUUUCUUUAGAGAUUGUUUUUAAUGUAUUAAAUAUUUUUGGGAUCAAUGUGUUAUGAGUAUUUAAGUAUUUACAUUUAGGUACUCUUGACACUUGUUUAAUCUACUAAGAGUUUGCUUUGUAUACAAUUUGACAAUGGUAUUGCACUUUUUGUUUUACCUUUU
Molecule: long non-coding RNA, 3916 nt
Organism: Nicotiana tabacum (common tobacco)
Lineage: Eukaryota; Viridiplantae; Streptophyta; Magnoliopsida; Solanales; Solanaceae
Source: RefSeq, a predicted model, not a curated record